Molecule: ribosomal RNA, 408 nt
Filed under: uncultured bacterium
Lineage: Bacteria
Description: partial 16S ribosomal RNA
Rfam family: Bacterial small subunit ribosomal RNA
Source: RNAcentral
GACGAACGCUGGCGGCGUGCUUAACACAUGCAAGUCGAACGAAGUGGCGAACGGGUGAGUAACGCGUAAUCAACCUGCCCUUCAGAGGGGGACAACAGUUGGCAACGACUGCUAAUACCGCAUACUGAAGGAGGGGAUUGCGUCUGCUCAGCUAGUUGGAGGGGUAACGGCCCACCAAGGCGGAGAUCAGUAGCCGGGCUGAGAGGGGGAACGGCCACAAUGGGACUGGGGCACGGCCCAGGAUCCUAAGGGUGGGAGCAAGUGGGGAUCUUCCGCAAUUGACGGAAGUCUGACGGAGCAACGCCGCGGGAGUGAAUACGGCCUUCGGGUUGUAAAGCUCUGUUAAUCGGGACGCGGUACCGGAAUAGAAAGCCACGGCUAACUACGUGCCAGCAGCCGCGGUAAUUC